RNAcentral lists this ribosomal RNA (253 nucleotides) under uncultured bacterium. RNAcentral's name for it is "partial 16S ribosomal RNA". It matches the Rfam family "Bacterial small subunit ribosomal RNA", at positions 524 to 776 of the family's 1533-position model. The record is from RNAcentral.
UACGUAGGGGGCAAGCGUUGUCCGGAUUUAUUGGGCGUAAAGAGCGUGUAGGCGGCCUGACAGGUCUGCUGUGAAAACUCGAGGCUCAACCUCGAGAUGUCGGCGGAAACCGUCUGGCUAGAGUCCGGAAGAGGAGAGUGGAAUUCCUGGUGUAGCGGUGAAAUGCGCAGAUAUCAGGAAGAACACCUAUGGCGAAGGCAGCUCUCUGGGACGGUACUGACGCUGAGACGCGAAAGCGUGGGGGGCGAACCGG